UACGUAGGCAGCGAGCGUUGUUCGGAUUUACUGGGCGUAAAGGGUGUGUAGGCGGUUGUUUAAGUUUGGUGUGAAAUCUCCCGGCUCAACUGGGAGGGUGCGCCGAAUACUGAAUGACUUCGAGUGCGGGAGAGGAGAGUGGAAUUCCCGGUGUAGCGGUGAAAUGCGCAGAUAUCGGGAGGAACACCAGUAGCGAAGGCGACACUCUGGGCCGGUACUGACGCUGAGGAGCGAAAGCGUGGGGAGCAAACAGG
Molecule: ribosomal RNA, 254 nt
Filed under: uncultured bacterium
Lineage: Bacteria
Description: partial 16S ribosomal RNA
Rfam family: Bacterial small subunit ribosomal RNA
Source: RNAcentral